CGAAGAGAGAAAACUUUGCUUCUCUUCGUCUCUCUCAACACUCGGGUCGAUUCACACCAACACAGUCUCGGUCGCAGACAGAGGGGCGAACGAGCAGUUACGUUCGGGCAAUGAAAAUCAGUCCACUUUAGUCCAGCAACAAGAAAGGCCACAUGAAAAGCCCACGGCGGCCAGAGAAAGAUUAGAGUGCUUCAGUCCGGAAAAAGUGUGUGAUUAGUCAGGAAUCGUCGGAAAAGCACGGCCGUGGACCACGCGAGUUCGUUGCUGGUUCUGGGCUACAAAAACGGUGAAAGUUUUACGGGUCGGCAAAGAUUCCAUUUUCGAAAACCGAAAACCGUUAGUGUUACGUCAGAAGGGACGCCACUCGUCCGCCAUCUUUAAAAUCAGAACCCGCCGCAAAAUCUUCAGUCCAUCCAACUCGGCGUUUUUUUGGACCAGCCUGCAGUAAUUUCUGGAACUCAACAUCGCUAGUACUCUCCGUCGCAAUUGAUCAUCGGAGGUUGUCGACGACCGCCCGGCAGACGAGAACAAUAGACGAACGACUGGCACGCACGCUGAACAGCCGUAACAUAGAAGGCCAACCACAGAAACCUCCACGAACAUCAGUCGUGUGGAAAAACAAAGCCUUCCAUACGGAAGUAAGUCCCUGCCACCUGUGACAUCACCACCAGGACUAAUGGAUUUGGUGCCGCAGGGCUUUGUUUUAUAUUCACAGCCAUUCCAUCCACGGUGGGAGGCGCAUAGCGGUUCUAUUCGUGACGUGCAUCCGGUCGAGGCGGCAACUGCGGCAAACGGAGCCGAGGUAGCCAAUUAUCCGGAUUGGCGGCUCGAUCGAGGGAGUUUCGGGCGUUCCGAUCGCGGGCCAAAACCACAUCGCCCUGGAAAUCAGACACGGGCCGAGCCGAGCUGUGUAAUCAUCCGUGACGGAAGCGAAGUCCACCGGCGGAACGCUGGUGCAUCGGGAGAACGUGUAGGGAGGUGCCGUCAAUGAUGAUGGCCGCGAACGGAGCAGCAUUACGGUAGGGGGCGCCCCAAGUAGUGAGUACCAAAAUGUAAUUUAGUAUGUAAGCAGAAUACCAUAGAGAAAUCAGAACUAGGAGAAAGGAGUAGAGCAGGAUGAGAAUGGCCAAGGGCCGCAAGAUAGCUCGUAAAUAAACAUUAUACACCAUGA
Molecule: long non-coding RNA, 1171 nt
Organism: Aedes albopictus (Asian tiger mosquito)
Lineage: Eukaryota; Metazoa; Arthropoda; Insecta; Diptera; Culicidae
Exons: 4
Source: RefSeq, a predicted model, not a curated record